This is a long non-coding RNA of Cyprinus carpio (common carp), 523 nucleotides long. RefSeq lists it as uncharacterized. Lineage: Eukaryota; Metazoa; Chordata; Actinopteri; Cypriniformes; Cyprinidae. The record is from RefSeq and is a predicted model, not a curated record. The transcript is spliced from 3 exons.
CAAGUGGAAAAGUUUAGCUCCGGGCUACACAAGCUUCACUUCAGAUCAGACGCUGUCAGGGUCUUCUUGCUGCUCAGAAGAAUUUGCAGUGACUUUCAAAUUUGUGAAGGAAAGAGCACUGUCUUCUCAGUCUAAUAAUUCUUCCUGACUCUGCUCUGAACCAAAGGAUGGCUAUGUUUGAUGAUUUCGAUAUAAUAACUCUGGAGGACCUCGAAGAUAUUAAAGAAUCCAUAUCUACUCAGGAUCUCCCAACAGCGGUAAACACAAUCAAAGAAGUCCUUGAUAAACAGGAUCUUGUAGAACUUAACAUUGGUGUGACGGGGGAGUCCGGUUCUGGAAAAUCCACGUUUGUCAAUGCAUUCAGGGGUUUAGGGGGAUGAAGAAGAGGGCUCUGCUAAAACUGGCCCUCUAGAAACCACUAUAGAACCUGAAGCUUAUUUUCACCCAAAAUACAAAAAUGUGAAAGUGUGGGAUCUUCCUGGCAUUGGAACACCAAACUUCAAAGCCGAUGAGUAUAUUAAAC